RNAcentral lists this transfer RNA (67 nucleotides) under Metopaulias depressus. RNAcentral's name for it is "tRNA-Pro". The record is from RNAcentral. Lineage: Eukaryota; Metazoa; Arthropoda; Malacostraca; Decapoda; Sesarmidae.
CAAAGGAUAGUUUAAAGAAAAUAUUAAUUUUGGGAAUUAAAAAUAAAGAAUUUAUCUUUUUCUCUGA